RNAcentral lists this ribosomal RNA (380 nucleotides) under uncultured organism. RNAcentral's name for it is "partial 16S ribosomal RNA". It matches the Rfam family "Bacterial small subunit ribosomal RNA", at positions 527 to 896 of the family's 1533-position model. The record is from RNAcentral.
GUAGGUGGCAAGCGUUGUCCGGAAUUAUUGGGCGUAAAGCGCGCGCAGGUGGUUCUUUAAGUCUGAUGUGAAAGCCCCCGGCUAAACCGGGGAGGGUCAUUGGAAACUGGGGAACUUGAGUGCAGGAGAGGAAAGUGGAAUUCCACGUGUAGCGGUGAAAUGCGUAGAUAUGUGGAGGAACACCAGUGGCGAAGGCGACUUUCUGGCCUGUAACUGACACUGAGGCGCGAAAGCGUGGGGAGCAAACAGGAUUAGAUACCCUGGUAGUCCACGCCGUAAACGAUGAGUGCUAAGUGUUGGGGGGGUUUUACCCGCCCCCCCUCAGUGCUGCAGCUAACGCAUUAAGCACUCCGCCUGGGGGUAGUACGGUCGCAAGACUG